AAAGUGGAUGAUGUGGACGUCAGCUGCUGCGCUUCCUCACGGAGUGGAAACAGUGGAAGAAGGCUUUUCCACCACAGUCCACCAGCCAAACACAGCUUGCCAAGGUCUGCAGCUCUCUGGACACCUUGACGGACACACUCAUCACCAUGUCCACAUUGUGAUUAUAGGAUUAAAAUUAAUAAACACCUAGUUUUCAAAAAAUACUGUAGAUUCCUGUAAUUUAAAACAUCAGCAUACUGUUUGGUGCCUCUAUCCUGUUGCUUCAAGUUAAGCUACCCACAAUGCAUUGUUAACUACAGUACUAAACCAUUUUACAUGAAAACAGUAUUUUAGUGUUGAAAAUUGGCUGUAAAUUUACUGCAAUAAUUUACAGUGUAGGUGACAAAACCAUGUAAAGUAAAUUCAAUCAGAUCCAAAAUCACAUAGUAUUGAGGUGGGAAUAAUGCUACACAAAUAAAUAAGUCCAAACUAGGUUCUGACGAUCACUGUUGUGAUCACUAUUCACAGGUCAUGGUUCCCCCUCCUUUUGAUUAGCACAACGGCACCGAUGAGAGCGAACAGUUGCCAUGGAGAAACAUGCAAUCAGCUGGUGUUUCUCUCCCUUUCACUGCAUGUACCCUCCCCUCAAUCUCUUCCUCUGACUGUAGACACUACAGGCCCUGUUGUAGUCAGAUAGUGAGGGAGCAUUUGCAGUGUGGGAGGGAGGAUCUCAGAUGUUCAUGUUGGAGAACUCAUCUCCUGUUCCGGUCCUAGGUCCUGUCUCUUUAAGAACCCCCUCCAAAUGAAGUCCAUUCUGCUCUGACUGGCCAGCUUACCUACUCUGAUGUGAUUGGUCAACCACUUCCAGUGCAUGUAAGAAGUGUCCACUUCAGCUUUUGCUUUACCUGGCAUUGUUUGGGGGUUUGCCAGAUUAGCCUCUAGGCACUUCUCUAACAUCGUGAAAUCACAGUGAAUUGGCUGGACUUCUGAUGAGGCAUUUCAAGAGUUUCAGGAGUAGACGCUCAAAAGUGCAAGAAUUAAUAAAGUACAAGUGGUUCAAGUACUUAUUUGUAAUUAAGUGUUUUUGUGUGUUUAAUAUAACAAAUUCAGGGAGUAAGGUGCAGUCUGAACAGGUGAGUUUUCAGUUCUGCUGUCCUGAUGCCAAUGCGGAGCUCGUUCCACCAUAAAGGAACCCGGACAGAAAACAGAUGGGAUUUAGAUGAGCGGUGGCUGGCCGCCCCUCGCAGUGAGGGAUUAGCAAGCGGAGUGGUUGGGCUGGGGUGUAGAGUUUGACCAUUUCAUCCUGGAUGUAGGAUGGGCCUGAACCAUUCGCAGCACGGUAGGCGAGUACCAGUGCCUUGAAUCGUAAUCGAGAGACCACCGGAAUUCUGUGCAGUGUGGGAGGAGCACUGUAGUGUGGGAUAACUUGGGUAGAUUUAAGUCCACCGGGGUUGUCCAGUGUCACACCCAGGUUCCUUCCAGGUUCAUCUGCGUAGCUAUGGUAGGAAAAGCCAUGUGAGUGAAUGACAGAGCCUAAUGACCUGAGGAAGGGGCCCAGAAAAGAGCCCUGAGGGACCCCAGUAGUGAGGUUGCAGGGUUCGAACAUCGAUUCUCUCCAAGUAACCCUGUAAGUGCGGCCCUUGAGGUAGGAUGCAAAUAGGGAGAGUGCUGAGCCUGAGAUUCCCAGUUGUUGGAGGGUGGAGAGUAGGAUCUGGUGGUUCACUGUGUCUAAAGCUGCUGAGAGGUCGAACAGGAUGACAACAGAGGAGAGGGAGGCUGCUCAAGCUGUGUGGAGUUCCUCUGUGACACCUAGGAGGGCAGUCUCUGUUGAGUGCCCUGCUUUGAAUCCAGAUUGGUGGGGGUCAAUAAGGUUGUUCUGGUGGAGAUAUGCAUAAAGUUGAGUUAAGACGUUCAAGAGUUUUUGAAAGACAUGGAAGAAGAGAGUAGUUUAUCACAUCAGAUGGGUUGAGUGCAGGUUUCUUUAAAAAAGGAUUCACUCUUGCUGCUUUAAGAGUGUUGGGAAAGUAACCUGUUGUCAGAGAGGUAUUGAUGAGGUGGAUGAGGAACGGAAGGUGGUCAGGAGCAAUACACUGAAGAAGGUGAAAGGGGAUAGGAUCAAGGGGGCAUGUGGUGGGGCGGUGGGGUGUGACCAAGGAUAGUAGCUCACUGGGAGGGAGUGGUGAAAAAGCGACUAGCGAAGGAGAUGAGGAGGAGGGUGAAGGACAGGUAGUGUCAGUAGGGGGUCAAGAAAUGAGGAGUGAAUGUCAUCUAUCUUUUUUGCAAAGUAGUUUACAAAGUCGCUCGGAGGAAGGGAGGAGGAAGAGCGGGGAGCUCGAGGAGGUUAGAGAAAAUGGAAAAAAGUUUCUUGGGGUCGAAGAGGGAAGAUUGAAUUUUAGAUUCAAAGAAAGAGCUUUUAGCAGCAGAUAAGGAUGCAGAGAAAGAGGAAAGAAAAGAUUUAUAGGCAAGAAGAUCCUCAGGGCAUUUGGAUUUGUGCCAUUGUCGUUCAGCUGCUCGCAGGGAGGUUCUGUGAGACUGCACUGAGUCAGACAACCACCGAACUGGACGGGCUAGCCCACCGAGAGGUUAAAGGACAGAGGGAGUCCAGGGAAGAGGACAAGGUAGAGAGAAGAGUGUCUGUGGCAGAGGCAGGAGUGAGAAGGAGUCAGCCGAGGGGAGAGUCGAUAGAACAGAUGAGCCAAGAGAGAAGGGGGACAGGGAGCGAAGGUUGCGGCGGACAGGUACAGUAUGAGUGGAAGAGGGAAGGUUGGCAGUUUGAGAGAGGGGAAGAGGGUAGGAUAUGGUAGUGGUCAGAGACAUGGAGAGGAGUGACAGAGAGCAAGGUUGGUUACCAGCUUUGUGAGUUUGUGAAGGGGGGGGGGGAUUGAUAGAGCGAAGGAGGAUAGAAAGACUAACAGCUGGGAAAGUUAACUUCUCUGUCUGGAUGUUGAAGUCACCGAGAAGUACUAGUGGGGGGCCAUCUUCUGUGAUGUUAGAUGGGAGGACGUCCAAUUCCUCCUAGAAAUCCCCAAGAGGGCCAGGUGGGCUGUAGAGUACAAUGAUCUUUAAUUUCACCGGGUGACUUACAGAAACAGCACCAAGUUCGCAGGAUGAAGGAGUGAAGUGCGGAAUGGGGUAAAGAGAGAGUUUCCAUUCAGGAGAAAGUAGCAAACCAGUGCCUGGUGUAGGCUGAGGAGGGGGCAGCAGGGGACAACUCCUGUUGUCAGGAGUUAUCCAGGUCUCAGUCAGUGCGUUAACAUACAGUUUAAAAACCUGAUUAUACUCGGGUUAAAGUUUCUCAAACACCAUGUAAACACCUGUAAACAUCAAGAAGCAACGGCGCCAAAAACAACAAAAGCUUUAAAUUGAAACCCAAGGACGUCGCCAUGGUAAGUGCUACCAAGAGGACCCAUUUCUGGACGAACAAGGAGUCACAUUUUUUGUUGUGCUAACUAAAGGACCUAAAUAUACUGAGGAGCAUGGAUGGCAGGAAGACAAAGAAUGCUGAGGCGCCGACAAACUAAAAGAAGUUGGUUAUAACCACAGCGUUGAGCAGAUUCAACACCGAUGGAAACAUUUAAAAACUGCAGGAAAAUGAAUCAAAUAAGUGGCAAUAGUCCUAUAACCUGCCCACACCAAGAGUUGAUGGAAGAGCUGAUUGGACACCGACCCUUAGCCCAAGCUAUGGAACAUGGGGUGGACAUAGGCCUUCAAGGUAAUUCUACACCGAGUUACACUUUCCGACUACCUAGCUAAUGAUGUAUAACGAUAACGUGUAGUAACACCAAAUGCAUGAAAGAAAAGGUAGUAAGACAGUUUUUUUUACAUACAACAUGGGUAUUUGUGCUCUUAUGUUACUUUGCCUACACCAUUUAGUUGUAACUGUUCUGGAGAGCAAGAUAAAAUACAGACAAGACACAUUCUUUCAAUUAAAGUGUAAUAGGAUUUAAACCAAUCUGUUUUUGUGCCCUCUAGACAGUAUGCAGGAGGACACCCUUGAAGAUUCUGCUGUGUCCUCGUGGGAGCAAGCACUCCUCAGCCAAGUGUCUCACUUAGCCAUUCUUUGACUGGAGUUUCACUGCCAUCUGCAGGGAGGAGAAGACCGCGCCAUACUGCUGACAUGGACCAUUUUUUUGAUAGAAUGCAGGAGAUGCAGAACUCUUUCAUGCAGCAGUUCCAACAGAGCCAGGAAAGGGAGGAGCGCCUUGUGAACAAUAUGAUGGACAGUAACACAUGCAUGGUGACUGCUCUUAUUGAAGGCAUCUGCAGCCUGCGGCCUCCAGUGCCACGACAACCCACCUACACGGGUACCCCCGGACCUGGACCUAGCAACCAGCAUCGUGUACCAUCACAUGUGAUAGAACACUUUAUAAAUAUUUAAAAUGCACAUUGUUAAGUUAACCUCUUGUUGACAGAAUAAAAAGAAUGUAGAAAUAAUAUUAUGACCAUGUUUAUUAUUUGAAAAUGUACAAGCAUGUAAAAAAGCACACAUUCACAAAUGAGAAACAUUUUUAUUUAAAAAAUGGUUUUGGCAAUGGGAAAUUAGCUUUUAUAUACUCUGUCAAAGCUAGCCGGACUUCCUGACCAGCAGAAGACUCUGAUACAUUAUAUGUGCGGCAGCUGGCUAUGGUAGGUCAUGCUUCAACAUAGCAGCACCCUCUGUCCAGACAGGGUUUAAACCCUCUUUUUCAAGUUUCAACAAUUGUGUAAUGCACAACAGGUGGCAACAACAUGAGGGGUAAAUGUGUAAAGAAAAUCACUUCUUUUAAGUAAAACUCUCCAGUCUACAAAAGGCAAUCUCAACUGUCGUACUGGCGGAACUAAGGUAGACAUUAAAUUACUCUUGCUCAGGAGUUAGUCGUGAAGACUGGGUGUAAUCCUUGAUGAGGCAGUCCAUAAGUGGAUACUCGUUGGUUUCCUCGAAUGGACUUGUGUACACAAAUCUGGUUGGAAAACACUUCACAGUUCUCCGGUGUAACGGGUAGAACGAAACAUUUAAUCCACAGUUUGUGAAACCUUACAGAUGUAUCCAAAGCAAAUUAGAGAUGGGUAUACUACGGUAAGAAAACAGUGUCGCUUGGUCGGUUUGCUGACAAACAUCAAAGGCACAUUGAUACUAUUGUCCAGGACAUCAAAGCCAUAAGCUACUUCUCUUAAGGUGACAGUAACAUGCUUAACUAUUAGACCUACGGUACUAUAAACAAUAUAAACUGCACUCAUUCUAGACAGUGUAUAUUGGCUCCCACAUACCGGCCCCUAAUUGUGCUCAUAUCUGGAGACAAUUACCAAAUUAUAACACGUGGAGUCAGAUAAACUAAUGUAACGUAACACAAUCUAGCACUGCGUAUUACUGUCUAUUCGGCCUCCUCCAAAUCUCCAAAGGCAUAUCUUCUUGAUGGGUCUGUCCAGCAUGCUAGUCUUGGUCUUGAUCCGGACCUGACGCACCAUCCCGUACAUGUCUGGGACUGUCUGAAUGACCUUUGCCAUGACCCAAACGUAGCGUGCUGCUCAGUCCACCUGAUCCUCUCCCAGAC
Molecule: long non-coding RNA, 5510 nt
Organism: Scophthalmus maximus (turbot)
Lineage: Eukaryota; Metazoa; Chordata; Actinopteri; Pleuronectiformes; Scophthalmidae
Exons: 3
Source: RefSeq, a predicted model, not a curated record